GUGGGGAAUCUUCCGCAAUGGGCGAAAGCCUGACGGAGCAACGCCGCGUGAGUGAUGACGGCCUUCGGGUUGUAAAGCUCUGUUAUAUGGGACGAACGGGCAUGGGGCCAAUACCCUCAUGCAGUGACGGUACCGUAAGAGAAAGCCACGGCUAACUACGUGCCAGCAGCCGCGGUAAUACCUAGGUGGCAAGCGUUGUCCGGAAUUAUUGGGCGUAAAGGGCGUGUAGGCGGCCAGACAAGUCUGUCUUAAAAGUGCGGGGCUCAACCCCGUGAUGGGAUGGAAACUGGCGGGCUAGAGUGUCGGAGAGGAAAGCGGAAUUCCUAGUGUAGCGGUGAAAUGCGUAGAUAUUAGGAGGAACACCAGUGGCGAAAGCGGCUUUCUGGACGACAACUGACGCUGAGGCGCGAAAGCCAGGGGAGCAAACGGGAUUAGAAACCCCUGUAGUCC
RNAcentral lists this ribosomal RNA (450 nucleotides) under uncultured bacterium. Its description in RNAcentral is "partial 16S ribosomal RNA". It matches the Rfam family "Bacterial small subunit ribosomal RNA", at positions 354 to 796 of the family's 1533-position model. The record is from RNAcentral.